RNAcentral lists this long non-coding RNA (441 nucleotides) under Pan troglodytes (chimpanzee). Its description in RNAcentral is "lncRNA (ENSPTRG00000052899.1)". The record is from RNAcentral. Lineage: Eukaryota; Metazoa; Chordata; Mammalia; Primates; Hominidae.
GUUGGCCAGGCCCUUCUUGAUGCUGAAUGGCAGGAGGACUUUGAAGAAGUGACAGGGUCAGAGGUGCCAUCCAGAAAGAUCACCCUGAUCAGAGCUGGGAGAAUGGAGGUGCCGGGCAGGAGCAGAUGCCAGGGCCGGCUUGGAGGCAACUGGAAUACUCCAGGCAAGAGGACGGAGUCCAAGGCCAGGGUGGGAGAAGGGGUUGGGAAGCCCUGCAGGGGGUAGAAUGGACUCAAGAUUUGAAAUUGGGGCAGGGAGUGGGAAACAGUGUCAGUCAUGAGCCCCUGGGUGCUGCCUCGUGGACCAAAUGGAUGCUGGUGCCAUUGACUGCAAUAGAAUCCUGGGGAGCGACCAGAGCGAGGUGGCAAAGAGAUAGGGAGAGAGAGAGAAUGUGUGUGUGUGUGUGUGUGUGUGUGUGUGAGCGAGGUGGCAAAGAGAUAG